CAUAAAGAGGUAGGGUCUCUUCAGAUUCCUCCAGAUAGUCCACUGGGACAAAGGUUACAAUACUGGAAGGAGCUUCUUAUCUACUGCCGGCAGCCCAAUGACAGACACUUGAAACAUGCAGAGCACGACCUUCCUCUAGGAACUCAGGACUGCCUUAAUGCCUUAAUGUCAUUUUAUUACCCAGUCUUACUAAAAGUCAAAUAAGCUA
This is a long non-coding RNA of Suricata suricatta (meerkat), 208 nucleotides long. RefSeq lists it as uncharacterized. The record is from RefSeq and is a predicted model, not a curated record. The transcript is spliced from 2 exons. Lineage: Eukaryota; Metazoa; Chordata; Mammalia; Carnivora; Herpestidae.